RNAcentral lists this ribosomal RNA (484 nucleotides) under uncultured bacterium. RNAcentral's name for it is "bacterial SSU rRNA". It matches the Rfam family "Bacterial small subunit ribosomal RNA", at positions 28 to 507 of the family's 1533-position model. The record is from RNAcentral.
GAUGAACGCUAGCGGCAGGCUUAAUACAUGCAAGUCGAGGGGCAGCGCGGGUAGCAAUACCUGGCGGCGACCGGCAAACGGGUGCGGAACACGUACGCAACCUUCCCAAAACUGGGGAAUAGCCCUCCGAAAGGAGGAUUAAUACCCCGUAACAUAACGAAGUGGCAUCACUUUGUUAUUAUAGUUCCGACGGUUUUGGAUGGGCGUGCGCCUGAUUAGGUAGUUGGCGGGGUAACGGCCCACCAAGCCUACGAUCAGUAACUGGUGUGAGAGCACGACCAGUCACACGGGCACUGAGACACGGGCCCGACUCCUACGGGAGGCAGCAGUAAGGAAUAUUGGUCAAUGGACGCAAGUCUGAACCAGCCAUGCCGCGUGAAGGAUGAAGGUCCUCUGGAUUGUAAACUUCUUUUAUAUGGGACGAAAAAAGGGCAUUCUUGCUCACUUGACGGUACCAUAGGAAUAAGCACCGGCUAACUCCGUG